GCCAGUUUGUCCAACUCCUGUUGGCUUUGGCCAACCUCCAGCCACCUCCAUCGCCACUCGCUGGGCAAACGGCAGCAAGACAGAGGGACAGGCCGUGGGGUUUUGCUUCCUGCCAGCAGCGAUUGGCACUGAUUGGCACUAAUUGCUCCCCGCAUUCCAGAGAGGCACUUUCGGAGUUAUUUCCUAUGCAGAUUUCCUGAUUCUGACUUUUCGUGCCGCGGUUACAGGAAUUAAAGGCGUCACGUGGGCUCCGCUCUGCCAGCUGAGAGAUCCAGCCCAUCUCCAGCAGCAAACCCUCUUCUGGAACUCACAGCACCAUCCAGACACCACUUGGACACCACCUGGACACCAUCUGGACAUCAUCCAGACACCAUAUGGACACCAUCCGGACACCAACCGGCCAUGAAACUCAUCGGGAUGAAGACGUGCAUUUGGGAUUGGGGACCCAACCCACAGAUCUGCUUUGCCCAAGCUGCUCACUGAUCGGUCUUUUGGAAGAACUGCAGCUGUGGAAGAACUGCAGCAACCACAGAAACUCCACGAGCACACAGCACCCAGCUCCGUCCCACCCUACAGAGCCACCUCAAGCUCUGUUUGCUCUCCAAACACUGCAGCUCCAGCAGCCGUGUUGUGCUCUGACCCCAAAGCACCAUUGGGUUCAGUGUAAGGUUUGCCAUUUCCCACCCCUUCCUGCAUUCAGGACAGCCACCUCCAGUGCCGCAGGGUGACAAUGUACCCCAAGCCCCAUCUCCGCCCCACAUCUCCACCCCAUAUCUCCAUACAUCCCCAUGUCACUGUGCCCCUCAUCUCUCAUACCCCACCUCUCCACAUCCCCCUGUGUGGCACUGUAUUCCUGCUGGCCACAAUGCCAAAUCACCCCAUUUCCCAAUGUCCCCAUGUCUCUGUGCCCCCCAUAUUCCCAAGACCCUCUGCCCCCUAUCUCCACCCCACAUCUCUGCCCCACAUUACCAUCUCCUGCUCAGCACUGCGCUCCUGCAGGCUGUGAUCCCAUAACCCCACGUACCUCCACACGACCCCAUACCCCCGGCUCUGUCCCAUAUCCACACAUAGCCCCCCUACAUCCAUGCCUGCCCCACAUCCCUGCCCCACACAUCACCUUCUGCCCGGCGCUGCACUCCUGCAGGCUGCAUCCCCACAUGUCCACAUAACCCAAUGUCCCCAUAUCCCCCCAUAUCCUCAUACCACCCCACACCCCAACGCCCCCCAAGUCCCACCCGUACCCCACACAUUACUUUCUCCUGCUCUUUAUGCUUUCCCCACGCUGCCACCGGGGGACAACACCCGCUCCCAUCCCAACCCUUGUCCCAAUCUCAUCCCAUCCCGGAGCCACAACGCCGCCCCAGCCCUACCAGGGUCCCACAAGACCCCGCUCCCCUCCCGGCCCCACGCAGCCCCCUGGACGCCACGCACCUCCCGUCAGCGGCAGCGGCUCGGAUCCUCCCCGGGGCGGUGCUGGAUGCCGGGGCCGGGCUGGGAGCCUUGCGCUCCGGCUGCAGCUCCGGCUCCGCCCGCUCCGGGCUCCCCCUCCGCCUCCCCCGGCACUUCCCUUUCCCACGGGCUCACAGCGCUGCCCAUUAUUAUUUCCCAUUAUUUCCCACAAGUUCUCCACUAUUUCCCAUAAUUUCCAGUCAUUUCUCAUCAUUUUUCCAUUAUUUCCCACUUCUUCCUGUUUUUCUCCAUCCUUUCCCAUCUUUUCCCCAUUAUAUUUCCAUUAUUUCCCAUAAUUUCCCAUUAUUACCUACUAUUUCCCAUUAUUUCUCUUUUAUUUCACCCUAUUCCCCAUUAUUUCCCACUAUUCCCAUUAUUUCCCUAUUAUUCCCCAUUAUUCCCCAUUAUUUCUCCCUUAUUUCCCCAUUGUUUUUCCAUUAUUCCCAUUAUUUCACUAUUGUUUUCCAUUAUUGCUCCAUUAUUUUCCAUUUUUUCUUUAUUAUUUCCCACCAUUCUUUCCCAUUCUUUCUGCAUUAUUUCCCACUAUUUCCCAUUAUUUCUCAAUUAUUUCCCAUUAUUGCCCCAUAUUUCUCAUUAUUUCUCAAUUAGUUUCCAUUAUUCCCCCAUAUUUGCCCAUCCCACUAUUUCCCAUUAUUUUCCUACAUUUCCCCAUUACUUCUUAUUACUACCCACUAGUUCCCAUUAUUACCCAGUAUCUCUCGUUAUCUCUCCAUCAUUUCCCACUAUUUCCCCAUUUUUACCCAUCACUUCCCAUAAUUUCCCCAUUAUUUCCCACUAUUUCCCCAUUUCCCUCCAUUACUUCCCAUAAUUUCCCCAUUAUUUUCCAUUUCCCCCACGAUUACCCACAAUUUCCCAUUAUUUUCCUAUUUUCCCCAUUAUUUCCCAUGAUUACGCACUAUUUCUCAUUAUUUCUCCCUUAUUUCCCAUUAUUUCCCACUAUUUCCCCAUUUUUACCCAUCACUUCCCACAAUUUCCCCAUUAUUUCCCAUUAUUACCCAGUAUCUCUCGUUAUCUCUCAAUCAUUUCCCUCUAUUUCCCCAUUUUUACCCAUUACUUCCCAUAAUUUCCCCAUUAUUUCCCAUUAUUACCCACUAUUUCUCAUUAUUUCUCCCUUAUUUCCCAUUAUUUCCCACUAUUUCCCCAUUUUUACCCAUCACUUCCCACAAUUUCCCCAUUAUUUCCCAUUAUUACCCAGUAUUUCUCGUUAUCUCUCCAUCAUUUACCACUAUUUCCCCAUUUUUACCCAUUACUUCCCAUAAUUUCCCCAUUAUUUCCCAUUAUUACCCAUCACUUCCCACAAUUUCCCCAUUAUUUCCCAUUUCCCCCCACGAUUACCCACAAUUUCUCAUUAUUUUCCCACAUUUCCCCAUUAUUUCCCAUUAUUACCCACUAUUUCUCAUUAUUUCUCCCUCAUUUCCCAUCAUUUCCCACUAUUUCCCCAUUUUCCCCCAUUACUUCCCACCGUUUCCCCAUCACUUCCCAUUUUCCCCCAUUAUUAACCAUUAUUAGCCACUAUUUCCCCACAUUUCCCCUCCUCUCCACGCAGCCACAUGGGAUUUUCCACUGUCUCCCCCCUGCCCCGGGGGCAGAGCAGGCACUGCCCUUCCUUUUCUCACCCAACCCAUUGGGCAAAGAGCCCAGAGCAGCUCCGUGGUGCCCUGCACACCGAUGCACACAGACUUCCUGCCCUUUGUAUGCUUCACUUGGCAUUUUCCAGCUCGGCUGCCUCCCCACACUCCUCCCAAUCCCACACCGUCCAUGGGAGCGUUACCUGUAGAUUUCUCCUUUAUUUUUCCUGUAAGAAAAUGGAACUCAAUCUAACUUCACCCAGGAAAUGAGCCCCGUACUUUCAAGCAGACCCUACAGCUCUGGAACCAGCCCCUAUGGGCUACAACAGGAGCUGGUGCAGCUCAAUGGGUUCCUUGUGCUCCCUUCUGCAAAGCUGAGCGUUGGCCAAGGACGGGCUUCUUCACGGCCACAGGAUGAGGGCUGUGUUACAGAGCUCCAGCCAGGUUCCCUUUGGGGCUCAGGGGUCAUCCCAGAGCUCUGGGUGCUCCUGGAUGGCCCAACCCCAAAACCAACCCCAUAUCCAACACCAUCACCAUGCCCAGCACUAUCACCAUGCCCAAAGCCAACCUCAUACCCAACACCAUCACCAUGCCCAGUGCCAUCACCAUGCCCAAAACCAACCUCAUACCCAACACCGUCACCAUGCCCAGUGCCAUCACCAUGCCCAAAGCCAACCUCAUACCCAGCACCACCACCAUAACCAAAACCAUCACCAUGCCCAGCACCAUCAUCAUACCCAACACCAUCAUCAUACCCAACACCAUCACCGUGCCCAACACCAUCACCGUGCCCAACGCCAACCUCAUGCCUGCAGCCCUUUGGAAGAAGAGGAGUCGGGUUUGGGUUGAGCUGAGCCCCCAGCCCUCAUGCAUCUGAGUGAGGACAGCUGUUUUAUAGGGUUGAUUCAGGAAUAGGACACACCUCUGCGUUUCUUUGGGUUCUCCACGGAACGCUCAGCGCUGCGGCGGCGAGAAAUCCUGGCUGCGUGCUCCCUCCUCUGUCCAUAGGGCGUAGCAGCAACUGGAGCACAGCUGAGCCCUUCCGGGGGUGGGAGGGAUGCUCGGCGGGGACACAACGGGAUGCAACAGGGAUGUAGUGAGGAUGCAGCUGGGAUGCGCUGGAGAGCAGUAGGGAUGCGGCAGGGAUGCAUUGGGGACGCAGUAGGGAUGUAGGGGGGAAUGGAAAGAGGGGAUGGAAAGAGGAUACAGCACGGAUGCAGAAGAGAUGAAGUAGGGAUGCAGCAAGGAUGUGAUGGGGAUGCAGAUGAUGGGUUGGAAUGGGGAUGCAGCAGGGAUGCAGCAAGGAUAUGGUAGGGAUGCACUGGGAAUGCAGCAGGGAUGCAGUAGGGGUGCAGCAGAGAUGCAACAGAGACACAGCAGGGAUGAAGUAGGGAUGCACACAGACUAGUUAGCAACAGCCAGCCUUAAAAACAGGAACAACUUAAAGGUCAACCAUAGAUUUCAGGUCACAUUCUUCAAACUGGCUUCAACAGUGCAGUUUCCUUCAGCUCUGGCAGUCACACAAUAUGGCAUCAGCAAAUAUUUGCCACCAACCUCAGCCACGGACUGCGCCGGGCUUAUCUCACUAUAGUCACACCUCAAUGCCAUGUUUUAUUCCCAUUAAUACUCCAUCAUAGUGCUAAUUAACAGGGCUGCACUGCCAGCUGGCAGCUGGUGCGUGUUUCCCUUCCCAUUGCUCACAACGCUCCUGCUUGGUUCCAUGCACAACACCGUGGGCUUUAGAUGUGUAAAGUAUCAAAUGUUCAUUGUAUUUCGUUGCUGUUCUGUAUUAUCCGUGGUUACCUUGGCAUCCUCCAGUCCAAAAAGCCAAUCUCAGCCUGUUGGGAAAUGGGCAGACCCAACUACGCACAACCUGACCCCAAGAUACGGGGUAGAAAACCAAGCACAUGGGAAGAUAUUUUCCUGCUGUGCUGCCCUAUGGGAUAAAAAAAGGGAUUCUUACCUGUUUUCUGCAGGUUGCACCACCUUGGAUUGGCGUCGGGUUGCUCCAUGCACAACAGGGACAUCCUGCCCUACACCUUUCCCAUGCCCAUCCCAUCGCCUUGGCCUCCAAGGUGGACUCCAUCCCUGGCAUCACAUCCACGGAUCCUGAACGGAUCUUGGCCCACAUCCUUACCUAUAGGAAAUCCCAACUCUGUUUGCUCCCACGGGUCAAAUAACCCAAACCCAUCCCAUGAUGAAGAUGGCGUUGCUGGUGGGGCAGCCAACAGCAUGCCCCAUUGGCACCCAAAAGGUGCUGCAACGAUGCUGAGCUGCCCAGUGCCCUACACCCACCUCCACCCCACUGCCAUGUCCCCUCUGCACCACCCAAGGGAUCCCAUUGGCCAGGACAUGAAGACAAAUCAACCCAGUGCCCAACCCAACCCAACACCAAUCCCCAACCUCAAUUGAACCACGUGGAGCUCACCCGUACUUUAAAAUAAGCUUUAUUUAGAUUUUUUAUAAUUUUUUUUUUGUCUGUUUGUUUGUAAUAUUUGCAUCCAUGCCUUCAAGGAUCCUCCCCCCCCUUCACUGGGGGGGGAAAAAAAAGUUAAAUCUAAGGUUACCCAUAAUCCAUAUGCUAUUUCCCGAAGUUCUCUCUUAAAUAAAUCAUCCUCUUAGUAAGUUCUUUUUUUUUUUUUUUUUUCUUUUUUUCUUUCUUUUUUUUUUUUUUUUUUUAGAAUUAUUUCCUAAUUUACAAAAUAAAAAAAAAAAAAAAAAAAAAAAAAGCUGAAAUGCAAAAGGAAACUACUGGAUACCGAGGGAAAUCGCUCGUCUGCUUUCGUCGGCGGAGAGUUUAAAUUAUUUAAAAAAAAAUAAAAAUAGAAAGAAAUGCGAGGAGAAAAACAAAAUGAUUAAAAAAAAAGUCAAUGUAUUAAAAAAAAAUAAUAAUUAAAAAAAAAAAAUCAGCUUUUCUGCAGAAAA
Molecule: long non-coding RNA, 5963 nt
Organism: Tympanuchus pallidicinctus (lesser prairie-chicken)
Lineage: Eukaryota; Metazoa; Chordata; Aves; Galliformes; Phasianidae
Exons: 3
Source: RefSeq, a predicted model, not a curated record